This 1109-nucleotide ribosomal RNA is filed under the name Photobacterium sp. RNAcentral's name for it is "bacterial SSU rRNA". It matches the Rfam family "Bacterial small subunit ribosomal RNA", at positions 27 to 1115 of the family's 1533-position model. Lineage: Bacteria; Pseudomonadati; Pseudomonadota; Gammaproteobacteria; Vibrionales; Vibrionaceae. The record is from RNAcentral.
GAUUGAACGCUGGCGGCAGGCCUAACACAUGCAAGUCGAGCGGCAGCGACUUAACUGAACCUUCGGGGAACGUUAAGGGCGGCGAGCGGCGGACGGGUGAGUAAUGCCUGGGAAUAUGCCCUGAUGUGGGGGAUAACUAUUGGAAACGAUAGCUAAUACCGCAUAAUCUCUUCGGAGCAAAGAGGGGGACCUUCGGGCCUCUCGCGUCAGGAUUAGCCCAGGUGGGAUUAGCUUGUUGGUGAGGUAAUGGCUCACCAAGGCAACGAUCCCUAGCUGGUCUGAGAGGAUGAUCAGCCACACUGGAACUGAGACACGGUCCAGACUCCUACGGGAGGCAGCAGUGGGGAAUAUUGCACAAUGGGGGAAACCCUGAUGCAGCCAUGCCGCGUGUAUGAAGAAGGCCUUCGGGUUGUAAAGUACUUUCAGUAGGGAGGAAGGCAGUGUCGUUAAUAGCGGCAUUGUUUGACGUUACCUACAGAAGAAGCACCGGCUAACUCCGUGCCAGCAGCCGCGGUAAUACGGAGGGUGCGAGCGUUAAUCGGAAUUACUGGGCGUAAAGCGCAUGCAGGCGGUCUGUUAAGCAAGAUGUGAAAGCCCGGGGCUCAACCUCGGAACAGCAUUUUGAACUGGCAGACUAGAGUCUUGUAGAGGGGGGUAGAAUUUCAGGUGUAGCGGUGAAAUGCGUAGAGAUCUGAAGGAAUACCGGUGGCGAAGGCGGCCCCCUGGACAAAGACUGACGCUCAGAUGCGAAAGCGUGGGGAGCAAACAGGAUUAGAUACCCUGGUAGUCCACGCCGUAAACGAUGUCUACUUGGAGGUUGUGGCCUUGAGCCGUGGCUUUCGGAGCUAACGCGUUAAGUAGACCGCCUGGGGAGUACGGUCGCAAGAUUAAAACUCAAAUGAAUUGACGGGGGCCCGCACAAGCGGUGGAGCAUGUGGUUUAAUUCGAUGCAACGCGAAGAACCUUACCUACUCUUGACAUCCAGAGAACUUCUCUAGAGAUGGCAUUGGUGCCUUCGGGAACUCUGAGACAGUGCUGCAUGGCUGUCGUCAGCUCGUGUUGUGAAAUGUUGGGGUUUAGUCCCGCACGAGCGCACCCUUAUCCUUGUU